Molecule: ribosomal RNA, 492 nt
Filed under: uncultured bacterium
Lineage: Bacteria
Description: partial 16S ribosomal RNA
Rfam family: Bacterial small subunit ribosomal RNA
Source: RNAcentral
AGUGAACGCUGGCGGUAGGCCUAACACAUGCAAGUCGAACGGCAGCACAGUAAGAGCUUGCUCUUACGGGUGGCGAGUGGCGGACGGGUGAGGAAUACAUCGGAAUCUACUUUUUCGUGGGGGAUAACGUCGGGAAACUUACGCUAAUACCGCAUACGACCUACGGGUGAAAGCAGGGGAUCUUCGGACCUUGCGCGAUUGUAUGAGCCGAUGUCGGAUUAGCUAGUUGGCGGGGUAAAGGCCCACCAAGGCGACGCUCCGUAGCUGGUCUGAGAGGAUGAACAGCCACACUGGAACUGAGACACGGUCCAGACUCCUACGGGAGGCAGCAGUGGAGAAUAUUGGACAAUGGGCGCAAGCCGGAUCCAGCCAUACCGCGUGGGUGAAGAAGGCCUUCGGGUUGUAAAGCCCUGUUGUUGGGAAAGAAAAGCAGCAGGUUAAUACCCCACUGUUCUGACGGUACCCAAAGAAUAAGCACCGGCUAACUUCGUG